RNAcentral lists this long non-coding RNA (537 nucleotides) under Sorghum bicolor (sorghum). Its description in RNAcentral is "long non-coding RNA (SBIC_LNC016402)". The record is from RNAcentral. Lineage: Eukaryota; Viridiplantae; Streptophyta; Magnoliopsida; Poales; Poaceae.
ACGGCGAGACCACGGGAAGAGACGCAGCGGCAUCAGCGACACAUUCACCAGUUCACCACGCGAUCACGAGCUGCAGUGGAUAAUACCAAAACCUCUGCACCCGAGUUCUAGCCUUCCAAACUCCAAACGAUAGCGGCGACCAGCUGGCAGGGCUCGACGAGGACUACGACAUGUGAUCUUUGUUAUUUCCUUCUACCUUUUUAUUUUUUGUGAUUUGUGAAUCUUAGUUCUGUUUAUGUCCCAAUUGUCUAGGCACUAAUUUUUUUUGUUCAAUUUUUGUCUAGUACUUUAUACUCAUAUAGUUAUAUUUUUCUUGUAAUUUAGGUUAGGUGUUAGAAUUUUAGAAUGUUACCUAAGAAACAAUUGUCAAGGACCAUGAAAAGAAAAUGAAAAAGAUAAGAAGAGCAGUUUGUCUAUAUAUGACUGGAUUUGCUUUCCCUUUACGAAAAAAUUAACUUAUAUUAUUAUAAAAUUUUAGUUUAGGGGUCGUCGCAAUGUAUUCGCCAGAGGGCCCUCAAAUUUGUAGGACCGGCACUG